RNAcentral lists this ribosomal RNA (751 nucleotides) under uncultured bacterium. RNAcentral's name for it is "bacterial SSU rRNA". It matches the Rfam family "Bacterial small subunit ribosomal RNA", at positions 579 to 1333 of the family's 1533-position model. The record is from RNAcentral.
UUUGUUACGUCGGAUGUGAAGACCUGAGGCUCAACCUCAGGCCUGCAUUCGAUACGGGCAAACUAGAGUUUGGUAGGGGAGACUGGAAUUCCUGGUGUAGCGGUGGAAUGCGCAGAUAUCAGGAGGAACACCAAUGGCGAAGGCAGGUCUCUGGGCCAAUACUGACACUGAGGAGCGAAAGUCUGGGGAGCGAACAGGAUUAGAUACCCUGGUAGUCCAGACCGUAAACGGUGGGCACUAGUUGUGGGAACCUUCCACGGUUUCUGCGACGCAGCUAACGCAUUAAGUGCCCCGCCUGGGGAGUACGAUCGCAAGAUUAAAACUCAAAGGAAUUGACGGGGCCCCGCACAAGCAGCGGAGCAUGCGGCUUAAUUCGACGCAACGCGAAGAACCUUACCAAGGCUUGACAUAUAGGGAAAAGUGGCAGAGAUGUCAUGUCCGCAAGGGCUCUAUACAGGUGGUGCAUGGUUGUCGUCAGCUCGUGUCGUGAGAUGUUGGGUUAAGUCCCGCAACGAGCGCAACCCUCGUUCUGUGUUGCCAGCAUUUAGUUGAGGACUCUAGAGAAACUGCCUACGUAAGUAGAGAGGAAGGCGGGGACGACGUCAAGUCAUCAUGGCCCUUACGCCCAGGGCUACACACGUGCUACAAUGGUAUGUACAAUGAGACGCCACCUGGUAACAGGGCGCAAACCUCAAAAAGCAUAUCUCAGUUCGGAUUGAGGUCUGCAACUCGACCUCAUGAAGCUGGAUUC